UGAAAGAAAGCUAAGCUCUAGUAAUCUCAUUGUCUCUCAACCCUCCGUUCACGGAAUGUUCUCUAGUGCCAAGAAGAGGGGAAAACAACUUUCUUCUGCCCACCGUGUACUUCCAUGAUGCUAAAUUGGUAGCAUGUGUCUCUACAGUGUACAAUUCAUCCAGGACACAUUCAAUAACCCUGCGGUCUACAUCACAGAAAAUGGCUUCUCCCAGGUGGGGCCAGUGGACAUGGAAGACAUCCAGCACUGUGGGUUUUACCAGGACAUCAUCCAGAUCUGAGAGAGGAUGUUGUUGACGUGCUAGUUUAAUUCACCUGGUCCUUCCUGGAUAACUUUGAAUGGGCCGACAGUUUCACUUUGUCCUGUUCCACAUGGACUUUUCUUGACCAGAGUGACCGUGGACCGCGUACCACUCUGGAAGAGGGUACUCCGGGAUCAUCUCCAAGUACAGAUCUUAGACCAGGACAAAUAACUAAACAGCCAAUGGGCACAGAGAAAAUCAUCCAAAUCAGCCAAUAAAAGACAUUUUUUGCUCAA
Molecule: long non-coding RNA, 537 nt
Organism: Oncorhynchus keta (chum salmon)
Lineage: Eukaryota; Metazoa; Chordata; Actinopteri; Salmoniformes; Salmonidae
Exons: 3
Source: RefSeq, a predicted model, not a curated record